GGCUCAGAACGAACGCUGGCGGCGUGCCUAACACAUGCAAGUCCAACGUGAAAGGGAGCAAUCCCCCCGGUAGGGUGGCAAACGGGUGAGUAAUACAUGGGUGAUCUACCUUAGGGAUGGGGAUAUCCUUCCGAAAGGAGGGGCAAUACCGAAUAUUGUCCGGAGCCGUGAAGGGUUCCGGGAAAGGGAGGCCUCUGAUACAAGCUUUUACGCCUUAAGAUGAGCCCAUGGCCCAUC
Molecule: ribosomal RNA, 237 nt
Filed under: uncultured bacterium
Lineage: Bacteria
Description: partial 16S ribosomal RNA
Rfam family: Bacterial small subunit ribosomal RNA
Source: RNAcentral